RNAcentral lists this ribosomal RNA (550 nucleotides) under uncultured bacterium. RNAcentral describes it as "partial 16S ribosomal RNA". It matches the Rfam family "Bacterial small subunit ribosomal RNA", at positions 1 to 488 of the family's 1533-position model. The record is from RNAcentral.
AAGGAGGUGAUCCAGCCGCAGAGUCUGAGCCAGGAUCAAACAAGAGUUUGAUCCUGGCUCAGGACGAACGCUGGCGGCGUGCCUAAUACAUGCAAGUCGAACGCAUUUUCUUUCACCGUAGCUUGCUACACCGAAAGAAAAUGAGUGGCGAACGGGUGAGUAACACGUGGGUAACCUGCCCAUCAGCGGGGGAUAACACUUGGAAACAGGUGCUAAUACCGCAUAAUUCCAUUUACCGCAUGGUAGAUGGAUGAAAGGCGCUUUUGCGUCACUGAUGGAUGGACCCGCGGUGCAUUAGCUAGUUGGUGGGGUAACGGCCUACCAAGGCUGCGAUGCAUAGCCGACCUGAGAGGGUGAUCGGCCACACUGGGACUGAGACACGGCCCAGACUCCUACGGGAGGCAGCAGUAGGGAAUCUUCGGCAAUGGACGCAAGUCUGACCGAGCAACGCCGCGUGAGUGAAGAAGGUUUUCGGAUCGUAAAACUCUGUUGUUAGAGAAGAACAAGGAUGAGAGUGGAAAGUUCAUCCCUUGACGGUAUCUAACCAGAA